This 428-nucleotide ribosomal RNA is filed under the name uncultured Acidobacterium sp. Its description in RNAcentral is "bacterial SSU rRNA". It matches the Rfam family "Bacterial small subunit ribosomal RNA", at positions 958 to 1385 of the family's 1533-position model. The record is from RNAcentral. Lineage: Bacteria; Pseudomonadati; Acidobacteriota; Terriglobia; Terriglobales; Acidobacteriaceae.
AACGCGAAGAACCUUACCUGGGCUCGAACGGCUUAAGAAAAACGGUAGAAAUACUGUCUUCCCGCAAGGGACUUGAGUCGAGGUGCUGCAUGGCUGUCGUCAGCUCGUGUCGUGAGAUGUUGGGUUAAGUCCCGCAACGAGCGCAACCCUUGUCCUGUGUUGCCACUCCGUAAGGAAGCACUCGCAGGAGACCGCCAGCGAUAAGCUGGAGGAAGGUGGGGAUGAUGUCAAGUCAUCAUGGCCUUUAUGUCCAGGGCUACACACGUGCUACAAUGGGCGGUACAAAGCGCUGCAAACCCGCGAGGGGGAGCUAAUCGCAAAAAACCGUUCUCAGUUCGGAUCGCAGGCUGCAACUCGCCUGCGUGAAGCUGGAAUCGCUAGUAAUGGCGUAUCAGAAUGAUGCCGUGAAUACGUUCCCGGGCCUUGUA